CACGUAGGGGGCAAGCGUUGUCCGGAUUUAUUGGGCGUAAAGAGCUCGUAGGCGGCUUGUCGCGUCGAAUGUGAAAACUUGGGGCUCAACCCUAAGCCUGCAUUCGAUACGGGCAGGCUAGAGUUCGGUAGGGGAGACUGGAAUUCCUGGUGUAGCGGUGAAAUGCGCAGAUAUCAGGAGGAACACCGGUGGCGAAGGCGGGUCUCUGGGCCGAUACUGACGCUGAGGAGCGAAAGCGUGGGGAGCGAACAGG
This 253-nucleotide ribosomal RNA is filed under the name uncultured bacterium. RNAcentral's name for it is "partial 16S ribosomal RNA". It matches the Rfam family "Bacterial small subunit ribosomal RNA", at positions 524 to 776 of the family's 1533-position model. The record is from RNAcentral.